UUUAAUGAGUUUUAUUCUGUUUCUGUUCACUUUAAUGAAGUUCUGAUGAUCUGAAGGUAAAAUGAGUGUUUCUGUCUCUGGAGUCUGGUGGAGAGUGAUAGUGAUAUUACGGCUGUUUGUGGUUAAACUGAAGGUCUAUCUCUGUAGGGAUCCUUUCCAUAAUGCUGUCAGACACUGACAAUAACAACCUGAGUCUGUCAGUGGCUGAAACUACUACUGUUAGUGGAACAAACAACAACUACUGUUAGUGGAACAAACAACGACUACUGUUAGUGGAACAAACAACAACUACUGUUAGUGGAACAAACAACGACUACUGUUAGUGGAACAAACAACAACUACUGUUAGUGGAACAAACAACAACUACUGUUAGUGGAACAAACAACAACUACUGUUAGUGGGACAAACAACAACUACUGUCAGUGGAACAAACAACAACUACUGUUAGUGGAACAAACAACAACUACUGUUAGUGGAACAAACAACAACUACUGUUAGUGGAUGCACUUUAAAGGUCCAUUUGUCCCCAACGAUUAACGUUAGCUUACGUUGCAGCCAUUGUGCGGAUAUUUCCCCUCUAACUCUGUGAAUUAAAGGUUUAUUUCCACCAAACCAGAGUUGGUGAUGGUUGUAAAGACUAACAAAGACAGUUUUGAUGAGUUUUAUUUAGUUUCUGUCCACUUUAAAUUAAGUUACGAUGUUCUGAUGACAUGCGAUGUAAAAUUGCUGUUUUUGUCUCUGGAGUCUGGUGGAGAGCGAUAGCGACGCCGCUCUUCUAUUACUGGUUAAACCAAAGGUUUCUCUCUGUUUGUGUAACCUUGAAGCAGCAAAUAAUAAAAUUCUAGAAACUAGAAAAAGCUUAUAGAUUGGAAACACAUCAAACAUUUCUCUCCUCGUCCUGCACAUAUUUCCAGUUCUGGACUUUUUCACAGCGGAUGUCAUCAUCAUCUAAACUCUCCGUCCUUUGAUGGGCUCAGUCGACUCUCAGCGGAUGUUUUUCAGACUAAAAGCAGCAAAAAAAAAAUGGACUCGGUGAGAUUUAGUCGGGCUUUGUGUGGCUCGAGGAAAAGAGCAGGAAGGAGAGACGGACGUCUUAUAGUAUUAUAGACAAAUCUACCCGGUUCCACUGUGUGGAUCAACCAAGUUUCAUCUGAUCUCUUCUGACAGAGAAACAUCAGACGGACGGUUAUCGUCAGACGUCCAUCACAUCCCGGAGGUCGAAUUAUUCCCGUAAAGUCUUUAACGACGCUGCCGGAGGUCGAUCGUCGUUAGGAGACGGAGAGAAGAUAUAAAAUCAUUCAACCUAUUGAAGAUUUAACAUCAAUUAAAAGGUUGUUUGUUCGUAUAUUGAAGGAGUUUAGUCAUAAAAUAAAUAAUAAUUAAAUAAACACACAUAAGUCGACCUCUGGCGUUGCUCGCCAUCACUCGGGGCUCGGUGCUGUAUUUGCUGUGACCUUUGACCUCUCUGCUGCUGCUUGUUGACUGAUCGCGGACGUGAAGGUGACUCUGCUGAUAUUAAAGCUCCCGAGCGGACUGAAAUCUCUCGUUUUUCAUCCGUUCAGACAGACGAGAGGAGGAGGAGGAGGAGGAGGAGGAGGAGGAGGAAGUGAUCGGACGGACGCCGCCACUUCCUCCUGGAGGAUGAAGGAGGUGGGUG
Long non-coding RNA from Dicentrarchus labrax (European seabass), 1657 nucleotides. RefSeq lists it as uncharacterized. Lineage: Eukaryota; Metazoa; Chordata; Actinopteri; Moronidae. The transcript has 3 exons. The record is from RefSeq and is a predicted model, not a curated record.